CUCGGUAUCUAAUCCGUUCCCUUGGGAACAGGACGUCACACAGGGUGAGAAUCCCGUGCGAUGAGAUGCCCAAUUCCAUGUAAAGUGCUUUCGAAGAGUCCAGUUGUUUGGGAAUGCAGCUCUAAGUGGGUGGUAAAUUCCAUCUAAAGCUAAAUAUUGGCGAGAGACCGAUAGCGAACAAGUACAGUGAUGGAAAGAUGAAAAGAACUUUGAAAAGAGAGUGAAAAAGUACGUGAAAUUGUUGAAAGGGAAGGGCUUGAGAUCAGACUUGGUAUUUUGCGUUCCCUUCCUUUUUGGUUGGGUUCCUCGCAGUUUACUGGGCCACCAUCGGUUUGGAUGGUAGGAUAAUGACAUUGGAAUGUAGCUUUACUUCGGUGAAGUGUUAUAGACUUUGUUGAUACUGCCUAUCUAGACCGAGGACUGCGUCUUUGACUAGGAUGCUGGCGUAAUGAUCUUAAGCCGCCCGUCUUGAAACC
RNAcentral lists this ribosomal RNA (476 nucleotides) under Dujonia zeylanoides. Its description in RNAcentral is "[Candida] zeylanoides partial large subunit ribosomal RNA". It matches the Rfam family "Eukaryotic large subunit ribosomal RNA", at positions 169 to 661 of the family's 3401-position model. The record is from RNAcentral. Lineage: Eukaryota; Fungi; Ascomycota; Pichiomycetes; Serinales; Debaryomycetaceae.